AGGACGAACGCUGGCGGCGUGCUUAACACAUGCAAGUCGAGCGGAAAGGCCCUUCGGGGUACUCGAGCGGGCGAACGGGUGAGGUAACACGUGAGUAACCUGCCCUAGCUCUGGGAUAGCUCCGGGAAACCGGGAUUAAUACCAGAUACGACCACUUUAGACAUCUGUCGUGGUGGAAAGGAUUCCGGCUAGGGAUGGGCUCGCGGCCUAUCAGCUUGUUGGUGGGGUAACGGCCUACCAAGGCGACGACGGGUA
This 255-nucleotide ribosomal RNA is filed under the name uncultured bacterium. RNAcentral describes it as "partial small subunit ribosomal RNA". It matches the Rfam family "Bacterial small subunit ribosomal RNA", at positions 26 to 285 of the family's 1533-position model. The record is from RNAcentral.